GCCGGGCGUGGUGGCACACGCCUGUAAUCCCAGCUGCUCGGGAGGCUGAGGCAGGAGAAUCGCUUGAACCCAGGAGGUAGAGGUUGCAGUGAGCCAAGAUCAGCGCCACUGCACUCCAGCCUGGGUGACAGAGCGAGACUCUGUCUCAG
RNAcentral lists this signal recognition particle RNA (149 nucleotides) under Pan troglodytes (chimpanzee). RNAcentral's name for it is "Metazoan signal recognition particle RNA". It matches the Rfam family "Metazoan signal recognition particle RNA". From Rfam's summary of the family: The signal recognition particle (SRP) is a universally conserved ribonucleoprotein. Lineage: Eukaryota; Metazoa; Chordata; Mammalia; Primates; Hominidae. The record is from Rfam by way of RNAcentral.